This 497-nucleotide ribosomal RNA is filed under the name uncultured bacterium. Its description in RNAcentral is "partial 16S ribosomal RNA". It matches the Rfam family "Bacterial small subunit ribosomal RNA", at positions 28 to 507 of the family's 1533-position model. The record is from RNAcentral.
GAUGAACGCUGGCGGCGUGCCUAAUACAUGCAAGUCGAGCGAACAGACGAGGAGCUUGCUCCUCUGACGUUAGCGGCGGACGGGUGAGUAACACGUGGAUAACCUAUCUAUAAGACUGGGAUAACUUCGGGAAACCGGAGCUAAUACCGGAUAAUAUAUUGAACCGCAUGGUUCAAUAGUGGAAGACGGUUUUGCUGUCACUUAUAGAUGGAUCCGCGCCGCAUUAGCUAGUUGGUAAGGUGACGGCUUACCAAGGCGACGAUGCGUAGCCGACGUGAGAGGGUGAGCGGCCACACUGGAACUGAGACACGGUCCAGACUCCUACGGGAGGCAGAAGUAGGGAAUCUUCCGCAAUGGGCGAAAGCCUGACGGAGCAACGCCGCGUGAGUGAUGAAGGUCUUCGGAUCGUAAAACUCUGUUAUUAGGGAAGAACAAAUGUGUAAGUGACUAUGCACGUCUUGACGGUACCUAAUCAGAAAGCCACGGCUAACUACGUG